Molecule: long non-coding RNA, 1463 nt
Filed under: Cricetulus griseus (Chinese hamster)
Lineage: Eukaryota; Metazoa; Chordata; Mammalia; Rodentia; Cricetidae
Description: lncRNA (ENSCGRG00015040633.1)
Source: RNAcentral
UGGUGAUCCAGGCAGGAAGUGACAUAGUAAGGAGACUCAUAUUUAAGUGAAGGAGAAACAGGAAAGGUCCCCUUUUCCCCUUGCUCCUCCAGCAGCAGGAUGUGAUCCACCGGCAAGGAGGGACACCAAUAAGGCAUCUGAUAAGAUAAGUCUUAUAAAAUAUAUAGAUUUGUGAUAAUUAAGACUGAGCUAACAAAUGAGGAAUCCUAGUCAUUGGCCAAGCAGCUUUGAACCUACUACAAGUUUCUGUGUAUUCAUUUGGGCCUAACUCGGGUGGGCGGCUGGCGUAAAGCUCACACGUGACAGUGGGGCUCAGGAGGCUUCUGGCGGAAAGAUUUAUCGUAACACUGCCUCUGUGUCACUUUAGAUCUACAACUACCUCAAAUGCUUUAAGUUACCCGGUGAAGGUCAGGGACAAUUCACCAUGGUAACCUGACGCUGAGCUCUGAAUGCAGGUGUGCAUAAGUAUGAUUCGGCAAUUUAGAAUUUACAAACCGAGGGCACCAUGCAGCUACUGGCAACUCAGCCAUUGGCCUCAACUCACCUGCUUCUGGGUCAUAGAUGUUUACCAUGAUAUAAGUCACAAACCACAUGAUGGAGUCAUCCUGGGUACUCAUUCCCAGAUGAAUGGGUAAAGGAAGUGUGUACAGAUGGAGUAGUAUUUGGCCACAAGGAAGAAGAAAACUGUGACAGUUAUAAGAAAACUGAUGGAACUAGAGAUCAUGAUGUCAAAUGAAAUCAACCAGACUGUAUUUUCUCUUUCAUAUAAGACUAUAUGAAACCCAGUGGGUUUGACAUCACAGAAGGAGGAGGGCUAUAAGUGAAGGGGAUGGGGAAAAGGGGAGAAGAGAGGGACAAGACAGGUGAGACGUGAAUAUGAACAAAGUGUGUUACAUGCACACUUGAAACCAUUGCAGUGAGCCCAUUCCUUUGUACCCCUAAACACAUUUAAAAUGUAGAAGCAAUACCUGUUGUGUCCCGCUGAUGCUAAAGACGGCAGUCAGGAAAACAUGGAGAAAUGUAAGCAGUUCAAUUUGUAAUUGAAAGAGCUCAAAUCAAGCACUCUUAGCAGAGAAGCUUAACUGACCUUUGGAAACACAGGCAGAUAAUACCAAACCCAGGGGUAUUGAGCCCAAGUUAAAACUGCAUGGGGUGUCCGCCGACCAACCCAGGAACUAGAACCCUCAUCCAGCGGCUGAUGGAAGCAGAGACAGACAUCCACAGUUAUACACUGAGCUGAAAUCUGGAAUUUAGUUGAAGAGAGGGAGGAAUGAAGAGCGAAGGGGUCUGUACCAGGUUGGAGAAACCCACAGGAACAGUUGGCCUGAACAAGGGAGAGCGCAUCGACCCCAGAUGCUGUCUGGGAGGCCAGUACAAGACUGAUCCAGACCCCUGAACAUGGAUGUCAAUAAGGAGGUCUCUGCACUCCAGGGAGCAUCUGGUUGUGUAUUAGUAUUUUUCCC